AAAUAAUAUUCCUCUAAACUAGAACUUUGUACUGCAGGUGGUGACUGAGCAACGUCUGGCAAAGCAGGAUAGGAAUCCAUUAACUGCGGAAGAAUUUGUGGUUCCCCUAAGCAAGCUGGAGCCCAUUUACAGGGAAGAGGAAGAAACGAUGAAAGUGUGGUUCCAACGUACCUCGCUCAUGAGAAAGCGUGCACGGCUCUUGGAAGAGGAGGCUGAAGCUCAAGGGUUGAAGGGCAAGGCGGCUAAGAAGAAUGAGGCAAAGAAACCAAAGGGAAAAAAAGGAAAGAAAAAGAAGAAAUUAUGAGAUAUGAUUAUAUAAGAUAGUGAAUAUACCACUAGCUUUGCAUUAUGAACUAAGAAAAUUGUUGUUUUACCAUAUUUAGUAUUUUAAAGAACCCUAUAGACAGUGACUCCAAUUAUUACAUUUACCAGCAACUAAGUAGAGAAAAGAAAUUCAGUACAUAGAGUAAUAUGGUUGUCAUUUUCCGUAAUGUAAUUGACUAGGAAUAAGAAAUAAACAAACCAAGGUUGGAAAAUGUUUAAUGAAUGUUAGUGAAUUCGCCCUAUGCUAGGAUAAGUUUUUUUUGUGCAAAUUGUAUGAUUAGAAGAAACUUAGAAAUAGAAAGAAAGUAGAGAGGUAAGUUUUUUUGACCAUCAGUAAAAAAAGCCUAAUAGUGUCAUCAAGCAGCCCAAACAUAUCAUAGAGUAGCCCAAAGAAUCGCAAGUAGCGGAUUAUGAAUUUAAGUAGCACAUACCCUUCAAAAGUAGCCCAAUCCGCUACUUUUCGCCCAAUAUGGCAACACUGCCUCCGUACCCUCGGCCUUGUUUGUUUACACCAAAGACCCUAUAAAAGAAAGACUGGAAAGCACCAAAAUUA
Portunus trituberculatus (swimming crab) is the source of this 877-nucleotide long non-coding RNA. RefSeq lists it as uncharacterized. The record is from RefSeq and is a predicted model, not a curated record. The transcript has 2 exons. Lineage: Eukaryota; Metazoa; Arthropoda; Malacostraca; Decapoda; Portunidae.